GAGUGCUUGCACUCUGUGAAACAAGAUACAGGCUAGCGGCGGACGGGUGAGUAACACGUGGGUAACCUGCCCAAAAGAUCGGGAUAACACCUGGAAACAGAUGCUAAUACCGGAUAACAACAGAUGAUGCCUAUCAACUGUUUAAAAGAUGGUUCUGCUAUCACUCUUGGAUGGACCUGCGGUGCAUUAGCUAGUUGGUAGGGUAACGGCCUACCAAGGCGAUGAUGCAUAGCCGAGUUGAGAGACUGAUCGGCCACAUUGGGACUGAGACACGGCCCAAACUCCUACGGGAGGCAGCAGUAGGGAAUCUUCCACAAUGGACGCAAGUCUGAUGGAGCAACGCCGCGUGAGUGAAGAAGGGUUUCGGCUCGUAAAGCUCUGUUGUUGGUGAAAAAGGACAGGGGUAGUAACUGACCUUUGUUUGACGGUAAUCAAUUAGAAAGUCACGGCUAACUACGUGCCAGCAGCCGCGGUAAUACGUAGGUGGCAAGCGUUGUCCGGAUUUAUUGGGCGUAAAGCGAGUGCAGGCGGCUCGAUAAGUCUGAUGUGAAAGCCUUCGGCUCAACCGGAGAAUUGCAUCAGAAACUGUCGAGCUUGAGUAC
This 602-nucleotide ribosomal RNA is filed under the name uncultured bacterium. RNAcentral's name for it is "bacterial SSU rRNA". It matches the Rfam family "Bacterial small subunit ribosomal RNA", at positions 64 to 649 of the family's 1533-position model. The record is from RNAcentral.